Long non-coding RNA from Labrus mixtus (cuckoo wrasse), 3427 nucleotides. RefSeq lists it as uncharacterized. Lineage: Eukaryota; Metazoa; Chordata; Actinopteri; Labriformes; Labridae. The transcript has 7 exons. The record is from RefSeq and is a predicted model, not a curated record.
GAUAGCCUCGCCCCUGGCUGCCGGGUUUUUCCUUCUCUAGGACGUUGUUUAUGUUUACAGUCUAUGGUUUUGGACUAAAAGUAAUACAAUACGUUUGGGAAAAUCAUUUAACAGUGAGUUGACAAAUUGUUGUCACUGUGCUUAUUUGAAAUGUUGUGCACAAAUGUCAUCUUAAUGUUCUCUGGUUUUAAAGAAAUGUUGUGGCGAUCUCAUCAUGUUGUGUAAUUAAAUACAUGAAAUUCAAUAACCUCUGCUCUCUCUGCAGGACAUGUUAGGGUUGUAUAUUGCUGUUUCCUUUUUUGUAUUUGGUUCAUCUUCUGCUCUUGAGAAUAAAGCGCCGUGCUUUGGCGGAAGACUCUCCAUACCGUUUGAAUACACACCGCUCCUUUUCAGUGGACAGUUGUACUUCACUCCGAGUGAUGGAGGACCCACAACUCUAUUGACGGAUAAUGGGGAGACCCACGGCUUAAACGAAGCUUCAUCACUUCUCCUUAUUUGAACGAUUUGACGGAAAGAGAUGAUGGAAUUUUUUCUGUCUCAUCCAAUGAGAAUAGGCGUCUUGAUAUCAUCAAAACUGGAGGUUUUGGAUUGUGCAGUCGAUGUCAGCACAGUUUACGGAGAUUGGUAUUACCUUGACGUUCCUCGGGAAGGCUGAAAUCCUGGAGUUCACUUCCCAGUCCCAGUCCCAGUUACUCCCUACCAAAGGUCCUGUGGAACCGCACAGACCCUCAGACCACCAAGAGAGGCAGAGGACAGAAGAAGCGUGACUUCUGGGAGAUCAUCAAACUCACUCAGAAGGACAAUGGCUACUACAAUGUCGGGGGGAAAAGGUGGGCCUUUGCUGUCCAGGACUUUGCUCAAAGUAGAAGCGGACUCUAUAAGCUAUAAAAGAAGUAAAGGCGAGGACCUCAUCAUCAGAUAUCCUUCGACCAAAUCCUCUUGGACUGUAACUGUGACUAAACCCGGGGGAAGACACAGAAUACUUCAUUUUGAUCGAAGCAGGCGAUCUGCUCACUGACAAUAGUAAUUCUGGAAUACCGGGAAUAUGGCGGGAGGGUUCAGAUUUUGCAUGACGGCAUAGAAAUCGGGUCUUUGCGAAUCAUGGACUCUGGCGUUCUUGGGUUCAGAGACGAGGAAAACUACUUGGCCCUGACCGUUCAUGUGAAUGUGCAUUUGUUAUUGUUUCCGUUAUUGCGGAAUCGUCUUUGUGGGGAUCCUCUGCUUCUGCUGCAUGAGAAAACGAUGUUGUAAAAAGAGCGCUCCCAAAAGGGACGAGGCUGCAGCGGCACCUCCAGUGUAUUACCAUGGUAAGACCCAUCUUUCAAGCCCGAGUUACCGUGCUGCACCUGCGCCAAAACCCUCUUAGGAGCCAAUGAACCCCAGUGAGCCAGCAGCUUCAUCAUCUGGGACACCGGCUGCGCCUCUGCGAGAUCAAGGGGAUGCUCCAGCUCCUACUGUCGGCUCUGAUUGUCUCUCCUCUGACCGUGAGCUGAGGCGUGAGCUGAAAGGACUGACCGGGGGCGGCUGUGGCUCAGUCGGUAGAGUCGUCGCCUCUCAACCGGAAGGUCAAGGGUUCGAUCCCCAGCUGAGCAACAUGUGUCCUUGGGCCAAGACACUUAACCCUGAAUUGCUCCCGCUGCUUCAGUGGCGGUGUAUGAAUGGGAUUAGUUACUUCUGAUGAUACUACAUAGCGAUCAUCACUACCAUCAGUGUGUGAAUGGGUGGGUGUGACAUGCAGUGUAAAAGCGCUUUGAGUAGUCGGAAGACUCGAAAAAGCGCUAUAUAUCAAGUCCGUUUCAACUUUCACUGAUGUUUAUACCUCAGACAAACUCAACUUUUAGUAAGAAACGUCAUUCACAUUGGACAGAUGAGGUGUUGUUUAUUGUGACCAGCCUUAGCUGCCUUUUGGUUGGACAGUGACAUAUACACACGUUAGAAAAUAAGUUGCAUUCGGGGCGCUGGUGGCGCAGUGGUUUGUGCAUGUAUGGAAGCUGUAGUCUUCCAAGCGGGCGGCCCAGGUUCAAAUCCGACCUGUGGCUCCUUUCCUGCAUGUCGUUCCCCACUCUCUCUCUCCCCAAUUUCUGACUGCCCAAUAAAGGCCCAAAAAGCCCCAAAAUAAACCUUUAAAAAAAACCAAAAUAAGUUGCAUUAAGAGGUGGACAAAGUCAAGUACCAGUGGUUCCUAACCUUUUUUCCUUGUAGCCCCCCUACUUGUAUGGUAGAAAUGCUGAAACAGCAGUCCCAUAUCCUUUUGCGUUCUCACAUCAGCUCACUCGGACUUUCAGCAGAAUAAAUACGAAGGGGCUGGCAGGAAAAACUUCAGAUAAAGUCAGUUUUUUCAGGAGUUUGAAAGCACUAAUCGUCUUCCGCUGUGGGGGGCGUUAACAAGCAUCUAAGCAUGACUUUGAUUGGCAGUCUGCAUGAAAUGUUCGAGAAGUUUUCUGGAAAGCGUUUGUGAAAACAGCUUACAGUUAUUUUAUAAAUGCAAAAUGAAACACAAUACCAUUAAUGCUAGCUUGACUCAUUUCAGUGCGUAUUUCGGCCUAUGUUUGUGUAGCAUGUUAACUAGACAGAGUGUAAAAACGAAUUUCCCCUCGCUGGGAUCAAUAAAGUAUAAAUUAUUAUUAUUAUUAUUGACUCAUUUCCACAUUUGUCACAAGUUAAAGGUUGGGACUUUCUUCAGUAUGAAUACAGUUGUACUCACACAAAUGCAGGGUGCUCAGUUUGAUGCUAAUAUAGUAUUAUUUUUGUAGUAACUCUUGAUGACUGGAUCUGUUUUAAAGUAAUAGUAUAGCAAACAGUGGAGGGUGAGAGGAGGAUAUAAAUCAAGUUAACCAUAUUAACACACAUUUAAAAGCUUUUAGGACAAUUGAUGUAUUCACUCAAUUUUCUCAGGAACUAAAAAACAAAUAAAGCUCUCUCGGUUUCUGUACUGUAGUUUUAAACUGCAGAUGUUCGAAGUGCUUAUCGAUAUAAUACACCAAAUGAAAUGAAUUUGCCAUAUAUUAAGAAUGUAUAAUGUUCACAUCUUAAUGUCUGCUGUGCCUGGUGCUGCCAAGGAGGAGAGAUAAUGUUUCAAAAUGAGUUUGUUUAGCAGAUAGAACAGAUCAUGUGACUCAACCUGGAGUCAGCAUUCUUGGAAACAAAAAAAACUACUCUCAGUUUUUUUUCACACACUUUUUGACGUGAUUAUUUCUAACCUUAUCCUGUGCCUAGAUGUAUGUAUCAACAUGUCCGAGUGGCUUUCAUCAUUGCAUUGAAUGCAUGCAUAUGAGAAAUUAUAUUUAUUAUACUUGUUUUGAUAUCUACACUUUGUAUCUUUGUGUUUAUAUAUUUAAGGUCUUUUGAAAGCUAGGUUUGUAAACUCAUCUUUUGAGCCACCCAGAUAUAAAAAAUAUCGAUCUGCAUUAAAAGUAAUGAUGGUUGA